GAUGAACGCUGGCGGCGUGCCUAAUACAUGCAAGUCGAGCGAACAGAUGAGGAGCUUGCUCCUCUGACGUUAGCGGCGGACGGGUGAGUAACACGUGGAUAACCUACCUAUAAGACUGGGAAAACUUCGGGAAACCGGAGCUAAUACGGGAUAAUAUAUUGAACCGCAUGGUUCAAUAGUGAAAGACGGUUUUGCUGUCACUUAUAGAUGGAUCCGCGCCGCAUUAGCUAGUUGGUAAGGUAACGGCUUACCAAGGCAACGAUGCGUAGCCGACCUGAGAGGGUGAUCGGCCACACUGGAACUGAGACGCGGUCCAGACUCCUACGGGAGGCAGCAGUAGGGAAUCUUCCGCAAUGGGCGGAAGCCUGACGGAGCAGCGCCGCGUGAGUGAUGAAGGUCUUCGGAUCGUAAAGCUCUGUUAUUAGGGAAGAACAAAUUUGUAAGUAACUAUGCACGUCUUGACGGUACCUAAUCAGAAAGCCACGGCUAACUACGUG
RNAcentral lists this ribosomal RNA (497 nucleotides) under uncultured bacterium. RNAcentral describes it as "partial 16S ribosomal RNA". It matches the Rfam family "Bacterial small subunit ribosomal RNA", at positions 28 to 507 of the family's 1533-position model. The record is from RNAcentral.